AGUGAACGCUGGCGGUAGGCCUAACACAUGCAAGUCGAACGGCAGCACAGGAGAGCUUGCUCUCUGGGUGGCGAGUGGCGGACGGGUGAGGAAUACAUCGGAAUCUACCUUUUCGUGGGGGAUAACGUAGGGGAACUUACGCUAAUACCGCAUACGACCUACGGGUGAAAGUGGGGGACCGCAAGGCCUCACGCGAUUAGAUGAGCCGAUGUCCGAUUAGCUAGUUGGCGGGGUAAUGGCCCACCAAGGCGACGAUCGGUAGCUGGUCUGAGAGGAUGAUCAGCCACACUGGAACUGAGACACGGUCCAGACUCCUACGGGAGGCAGCAGUGGGGAACAUUGGACAAUGGGCGCAAGCCUGAUCCAGCCAUACCGCGUGGGUGAAGAAGGCCUUCGGGUUGUAUAGCCCUUUUGUUGGGAAAGAAAUCCUAUCGGUUAAUAACCGGUGGGGAUGACGGUACCCAAAGAAUAAGCACCGGCUAACUUCGUGCCAGCCGCCGUAACAC
Molecule: ribosomal RNA, 506 nt
Filed under: uncultured bacterium
Lineage: Bacteria
Description: partial 16S ribosomal RNA
Rfam family: Bacterial small subunit ribosomal RNA
Source: RNAcentral